RNAcentral lists this microRNA precursor (61 nucleotides) under Sarcophilus harrisii (Tasmanian devil). Its description in RNAcentral is "Sha-Mir-34-P3b_pre stem-loop". The record is from RNAcentral. Lineage: Eukaryota; Metazoa; Chordata; Mammalia; Dasyuromorphia; Dasyuridae.
AGGCAGUGUGCUGUAAGCUGGCUGCUUGGGUUCAAUUGAGCAGUCAGGACUAGCCUGCCAC